GAUUCAAAACUCCUAAGUGAUGAUCACAGUAACCUUAGGUAUUUCUUAAUUCUCCAUAAUAAAUAUAGCAUCUGAGUCUAAUUUCUUCUGGGAGAUUUAUUAACUUUUAAGAUAGCAUGUGUCACUUACAUAAUCUAACAAUGCAUUUUGCAUACUAAAAUGAUGAAACAUUCUUAAUGAAUUUAAAUAGCUACUUUAUCAGAAACAGGAGUCAUAAGUUGAAUUUUUAUGUGAUUUAUCAAUUGC
Molecule: long non-coding RNA, 246 nt
Filed under: Homo sapiens (human)
Lineage: Eukaryota; Metazoa; Chordata; Mammalia; Primates; Hominidae
Description: HSALNT0322202
Source: RNAcentral